GAAGAGGGUACCUUGGAUGCACUCAAAUGCGCUGCUUGUAACUGCCACCGAAAUUUCCACCGCAAGGAGAUUGAUGGAGGUGGUGAGGCAAUAUAUCACCACCACCAACAUCAUCCCCAAUUCUCUCCUUUCUAUCGUGCUCCUCCACCUGCUGGGUACCUACACUUGGCACCACCCCACCAGCACAGGCCUUUAGCUCUACCCGCAGCAUCUGGAGGGGGAGCCGGAGGUGCUGUGUACAGCAGGGAGGAAGAGGAUGUGUCUAAUCCUAGUAGUAGUGGCGGGGGCGGCGGAGGAGGCGGCGCUACUGGGAGUUCAAAGAAGAGAUU
This 329-nucleotide long non-coding RNA is filed under the name Manihot esculenta (cassava). RNAcentral describes it as "long non-coding RNA (MESC_LNC000911)". The record is from RNAcentral. Lineage: Eukaryota; Viridiplantae; Streptophyta; Magnoliopsida; Malpighiales; Euphorbiaceae.